RNAcentral lists this ribosomal RNA (375 nucleotides) under uncultured eukaryote. Its description in RNAcentral is "partial 18S ribosomal RNA". It matches the Rfam family "Eukaryotic small subunit ribosomal RNA", at positions 592 to 976 of the family's 1831-position model. The record is from RNAcentral.
CAAUAGCGUAUAUUAAAGUUGUUGCAGUUAAAAAGCUCGUAGUUGAAUUUUGGAUUUGUUUGCAGGGUCUCUUCGAAAGAGGAGCACUUUGUGAAUGGGUCUUGUUUGUAGUGAACCCAUGUGUCAUUUACUUGGUGUGCGGUGGAACUACAGGUUUACUUUGAAAAAUUAGAGUGUUUAAGGCAAGCAUCGCUUGAAUACAUUAGCAUGGAAUAAUAGAAUAGGACUUUGGUUCUAUUUUGUUGGUUUCUAGGACCAAGGUAAUGAUUAAUAGGGAUAGUUGGGGGCAUUAGUAUUUCAUUGUCAGAGGUGAAAUUCUUGGAUUUAUGAAAGACUAACUUGUGCGAAAGCAUCUGUCCAGAAUGUUUUCAUUAA